Salmo salar (Atlantic salmon) is the source of this 1578-nucleotide long non-coding RNA. RefSeq lists it as uncharacterized. The record is from RefSeq and is a predicted model, not a curated record. NCBI's taxonomy places the organism in Eukaryota, Metazoa, Chordata, Actinopteri, Salmoniformes, Salmonidae.
UGAUCCUGUCUGAGAGAACAUUCGAGGAGAGUGUAGGCUGGUUGGGAGUUGUAACACUGCUCAUUCUCUCAAAAUGUCGGCGCCUGUAGAAGACACGUUUUCGAGUUGAGCAGGAUGAUUAUGAGAUGGAGUUACAUCGGGAUGCCACUAGGACAGGGACACGGAAAGGUGGGAUUUCGAAUGAGGAAUGGAGGAGGAAAAUGAGGAAGAAGAAGUCGAAGAGAAUGAGGAAAGCAGAGGCUGAAUUGGAAUUUGAUAAAGAUGGUUUCUUCCUAGGUUCUGGCCUUUCUAGGGAGUUUUUCCUAGCCACCGUGCUUCUACACCUGCAUUGCUUGCUGUUUGGGGUUUUAGGCUGGGUUUCUGUACAGCACUUUGUGACAUUAGCUGAUGUAAGAAGGGCUUUAUAAAUACAUUUGAUUUGAUUUGAAAUGGAAGUGAAUGAGGGAGAUUUAAGUGAGGUGGGAGGUAUGGUGAGGAUCUCGGAACCUGAGCCUUGCAUUGAUGGACAUGGUUAUGAUAUAGAUGAGUUUUGCCCAGUUUUUCUCACGCUGGUGCUGCAGAUGGAUAUAUCCUCCAAUACAGGACUAUUAAAGGCCCAGUGCACAAAUUUUGUGGACCAAAAAAAAGUUACAUGCCUGUGAGUAGUAGAUCUGUGCCAGCACAGAGGAAUAGGCCAAGGAGUGAUAUAUGCUUCCGUAAGGUGGGCUUCUUAGCGUUCAUAGCAAUGGUUAUCAACUGUACCUCAGAAAUGGAAUGUCAGUCACAGAAAAUACAUGUUGUGUUGGCAGCUGCAGUACUUGUGUGUACGAGAUUUGACUUCUGAAGAGUUAGAGAGUGUGUUGAGAGGUGGUGUCCUGUCCUCCCAGACCGUUGGCAUGGUGCAGGAGCAGAUAGGGUCAAAGUAGUGGAAUUGGGAUUGGGUAGUCAAAAGGGUGUAUUAUUAUAAAAAUGUUGGUAUAUAUCUUUGGGGUAUCACAAAGUAUAAUGGAUUUAUACUAUACUCAAGUUGGGGGCAUUAAUGCAACAUGUUAGAUGCCUACCGCCGUUAAACCCCACCGAAGAAGACGAAGAAGAAGACAUGCAGCACUGUCUCACAGGCUGCAUGCCGCCCCCAAGACCAGAACCAAUCGCAUGCAGGGAACAAUGAGUCAUCAAAGCCACAUUCAAACAGAGCCAGAAAGCUGAAGCCUAGAGGAAAAAAGGCAGUACAUCAUUGGCUAAUAAGACAAGAUGGAGGAAAUCUAGUGAUUCAUCAACAAGGAAUGCUGUGAUAAGAGGAAUGGUGUCUCUGAAGCAUUGCAGUACAGAUUAUGUCCCAAACCCAGACCAUCCUGCGGACUUCCUGCCUUAGCUGUGGGGACUUGAGUUCUCUUACCAAGACAACAAAGGAUUCCCCCUGUUUACAUUUGCCUCCUGGUGAAAUGAGUUACACGUUAACUCUUAUUUAAGCACUGCUGUUUGUUGUUUUGCUAUUAUAUUCCAACACACAGGUUCUCCUCCCGGCGUGUGUUCUGAUAGAAGCACUGUGGAGUCAAUGUUCAAUUAGACCAGUGACAAUAAAUGCACUGUUGAAGAUGA